CUCAGGACGAACGCUGGCGGCGUGCCUAAUACAUGCAAGUCGAACGCUUUUUCUUUCACCGGAGCUUGCUCCACCGAAAGAAAAAGAGUGGCGAACGGGUGAGUAACACGUGGGUAACCUGCCCAUCAGAAGGGGAUAACACUUGGAAACAGGUGCUAAUACCGUAUAACACUAUUUUCCGCAUGGAAGAAAGUUGAAAGGCGCUUUUGCGUCACUGAUGGAUGGACCCGCGGUGCAUUAGCUAGUUGGUGAGGUAACGGCUCACCAAGGCAACGAUGCAUAGCCGACCUGAGAGGGUGAUCGGCCACACUGGGACUGAGACACGGCCCAGACUCCUACGGGAGGCAGCAGUAGGGAAUCUUCGGCAAUGGACGAAAGUCUGACCGAGCAACGCCGCGUGAGUGAAGAAGGUUUUCGGAUCGUAAAACUCUGUUGUUAGAGAAGAACAAGGAUGAGAGUARAACGUUCAUCCCUUGACGGUAUCUAACCAGAAAGCCACGGCUAACUACGUGCCAGCAGCCGCGGUAAUACGUAGGUGGCAAGCGUUGUCCGGAUUUAUUGGGCGUAAAGCGAGCGCAGGCGGUUUCUUAAGUCUGAUGUGAAAGCCCCCGGCUCAACCGGGGAGGGUCAUUGGAAACUGGGAGACUUGAGUGCAGAAGAGGAGAGUGGAAUUCCAUGUGUAGCGGUGAAAUGCGUAGAUAUAUGGAGGAACACCAGUGGCGAAGGCGGCUCUCUGGUCUGUAACUGACGCUGAGGCUCGAAAGCGUGGGGAGCGAACAGGAUUAG
RNAcentral lists this ribosomal RNA (786 nucleotides) under Enterococcus gallinarum. RNAcentral describes it as "bacterial SSU rRNA". It matches the Rfam family "Bacterial small subunit ribosomal RNA", at positions 23 to 781 of the family's 1533-position model. Lineage: Bacteria; Bacillati; Bacillota; Bacilli; Lactobacillales; Enterococcaceae. The record is from RNAcentral.